This 742-nucleotide ribosomal RNA is filed under the name uncultured Planctomycetota bacterium. RNAcentral's name for it is "bacterial SSU rRNA". It matches the Rfam family "Bacterial small subunit ribosomal RNA", at positions 552 to 1283 of the family's 1533-position model. The record is from RNAcentral. Lineage: Bacteria; Pseudomonadati; Planctomycetota.
AAUUCGCCCUUGAGCACGUAGGUGGGUUUGUAAGUCAGAUGUGAAAGCCUUCUGUUCAACGGAAGAAUUGCAUCUGAAACUGCGAGUCUUGAGUGUAGGAGGGGAGAAUGGAACUUCUGGUGGAGCGGUGAAAUGCGUAGAUAUCAGAAGGAACGCCGGCGGCGAAAGCGAUUCUCUGGCCUAUUACUGACACUCAGUGUGCGAAAGCUAGGGGAGCAAACGGGAUUAGAUACCCCGGUAGUCCUAGCUGUAAACGAUGGGCACUAAGUAGAGGGAAUUACCGAUGUUCUCUCUGCCGUAGCUAACGCAUUAAGUGCCCCGCCUGGGGAGUACGGCCGCAAGGCUAAAACUCAAAAGAAUUGACGGGGGCUCGCACAAGCGGUGGAGCAUGUGGCUUAAUUCGAUGCAACGCGAAGAACCUUACCGGGGCUUGACAUGGUAGAAGUAGGAACCCGAAAGGGUAACGAACGGUAUCCAGUCCGUAGCUAUUACAGGUGUUGCAUGGCUGUCGUCAGCUCGUGUCGUGAGACGUUGGGUUAAGUCCCCUAACGAGCGAAACCCCUGUUUUUAGUUGCCAGCGGGUUAUGCCGGGCACUCUAGAAAGACUGCCGUCGUCAAGACGGAGGAAGGUGGGGAUGACGUCAAGUCAUCAUGGCCCUUAUGCCCCGGGCUGCACACGUGCUACAAUGGUCGGUACAAACGGAAGCGAAGCCGAGAGGUGAAGCGAAUCCAAGGGCGAAUU